This 292-nucleotide signal recognition particle RNA is filed under the name Saimiri boliviensis boliviensis (Bolivian squirrel monkey). RNAcentral's name for it is "Metazoan signal recognition particle RNA (ENSSBOG00000002272.1)". It matches the Rfam family "Metazoan signal recognition particle RNA". Rfam says of the family: The signal recognition particle (SRP) is a universally conserved ribonucleoprotein. It is involved in the co-translational targeting of proteins to membranes. The record is from RNAcentral. Lineage: Eukaryota; Metazoa; Chordata; Mammalia; Primates; Cebidae.
GCCAGGUGCGGUGACACAUGCCUGUAGUUACUCGGGAGGCUGAGGCUGGAGGAUCGCUUGAACUCAGGAGUGCUGGGCUGUCGUGUGUUAUGCCGAUCAGAUGUCCGCACUAAGUUCAGCAUCAAUACGGUGACCUCCCAGGAGCGGGGAACCACCAGGUUGCCUAAGGAGGGGUGAACUGGCCCAGGUCAGAAACAGAGCAGGUCAAGACUCCCGUGCAGAUCGGUAGUGGGAUCGCGCCUGUGAAUAGCCACUGCACUCCAGCCUGAGCAAAAUAGGGAGACCCGUCUCU